UACGUAGGGGGCAAGCGUUGUCCGGAUUUAUUGGGCGUAAAGAGCGUGUAGGCGGCCGUACAGGUCAGCUGUGAAAACUCGAGGCUCAACCUCGAGAUGUCGGCGGAAACCGUCUGGCUAGAGUCCGGAAGAGGAGAGUGGAAUUCCUGGUGUAGCGGUGAAAUGCGCAGAUAUCAGGAAGAACACCUAUGGCGAAGGCAGCUCUCUGGGACGGUACUGACGCUGAGACGCGAAAGCGUGGGGAGCGAACAGG
Molecule: ribosomal RNA, 253 nt
Filed under: uncultured bacterium
Lineage: Bacteria
Description: partial 16S ribosomal RNA
Rfam family: Bacterial small subunit ribosomal RNA
Source: RNAcentral